Molecule: transfer RNA, 96 nt
Filed under: Candidatus Babelota bacterium
Lineage: Bacteria
Description: Candidatus Dependentiae bacterium tRNA-Ser
Rfam family: tRNA
About the family: Transfer RNA (tRNA) molecules are approximately 80 nucleotides in length. Their secondary structure includes four short double-helical elements and three loops (D, anti-codon, and T loops).
Source: RNAcentral
GGAUGGGUGGCGGAACGGCUUAUCGCACCUGCUUGGAAAGCAGGCGUACGCUGGGUUACCAGGGUACUGUGGGUUCGAAUCCCACCCCAUCCUCCA